This 153-nucleotide small RNA is filed under the name Arabidopsis thaliana (thale cress). RNAcentral describes it as "ATSL151270". The record is from RNAcentral. Lineage: Eukaryota; Viridiplantae; Streptophyta; Magnoliopsida; Brassicales; Brassicaceae.
AGAACAUCUUUUCUAUCGCCCAAAAAUAAAUCUAAGGGUUUUCUAUUUAUUAGGUGUAUAUUGUCUUUUCUAGUACUAAAACAAUAAUGGCUAAGUCUCAUCCUCACAAGAGAUUAAGGUUGAGAAUAUAUUGUAUUGUUGUUAGCAUAAACA